CCUGGCGGCCUUAGCGCGGUGGUCCCACCUGACCCCAUGCCGAACUCAGAAGUGAAACGCCGUAGCGCCGAUGGUAGUGUGGGGGUCUCCCCAUGCGAGAGUAGGGAACUGCCAGGC
RNAcentral lists this ribosomal RNA (117 nucleotides) under Escherichia coli. The record is from RNAcentral. Lineage: Bacteria; Pseudomonadati; Pseudomonadota; Gammaproteobacteria; Enterobacterales; Enterobacteriaceae.